RNAcentral lists this unclassified non-coding RNA (279 nucleotides) under plant metagenome. RNAcentral's name for it is "partial contains small subunit ribosomal RNA, internal transcribed spacer 1, and 5.8S ribosomal RNA". The record is from RNAcentral.
UUUCCGUAGGUGAACCAGCGGAAGGAUCAUUACCGUACUAACAACGAGGAACAUCCUAGGACUGUCCCUGUCCUAACAUUCGUGCACGCCCGACUGUGUCCUCUUGCAUAGUAAUCCAUCCCACCCUUUGUGCACCACCGCGUGGAUACCCUUCGGGAUCCUCUCGUAGGGGGGCUAGCGAUUUAACACAAACACCACUUUUAAAAUUGUAGAAUGACCACAUUUAUGCAAUCAAUACAAGUUUCAACAACGGAUCUCUUGCCGCUCUCAUCGAUGAAA